Long non-coding RNA from Oncorhynchus masou masou (cherry salmon), 241 nucleotides. RefSeq lists it as uncharacterized. The record is from RefSeq and is a predicted model, not a curated record. NCBI's taxonomy places the organism in Eukaryota, Metazoa, Chordata, Actinopteri, Salmoniformes, Salmonidae. The transcript is spliced from 3 exons.
UGUAAUCAUGCAAUGCAAGCUGCUUACCCAGGAUGGCGGAGGUGGCUUCCUACAAAAACUCUGCCUUGAACCUCAGGAAACAUGUAGAGCAAAAUCAAUGACGAGACCUUCAUGCUGCCAGUCUCUGCACGAUUGAAGAAGAAUUGGAGCUCCGCCAGGUCUUUUUCAAAAUGGCGGGUCUCUUAGCGGCCCGCAUUUUCCAGGCGACACAUCCUUUACGGCCGCCAUGAAGGAAUCCCAG